RNAcentral lists this long non-coding RNA (3460 nucleotides) under Sus scrofa (pig). RNAcentral describes it as "lncRNA (ENSSSCG00000060214.1)". Lineage: Eukaryota; Metazoa; Chordata; Mammalia; Artiodactyla; Suidae. The record is from RNAcentral.
ACUCCUCUGUACUGAAGGUCACUACUUCUUUGGAGACAGGUGAUCUUACAGGUCCUUUUCAGUUUUAUAUUUUCCCCAUUCCUUUGUCCUGUUGGCAUGAGUAUGGUAAUAGCUCAAUUGCUACUGAACCACAGAUGAAUGCACUAUUCUAUUCAUAAUUGUUUAGCAAGUGUAAGUAUGUCUUUGUUUGUUUCAGGAUAUUUUGUUGAAGGAUGAUUACAUCAUAAUAUUGAAGAAUGCUGAUAUUGUAAUGGUUUUUAUUUAGAAUGUAAUGUUGUUUGGAAUGUAGUUAUGAUAGAAGGAGCUGUAGGGAUACUUAUAGCCAAGAAAGUGUAAUGUGCUUGAUUAUCUUCUGGCAGCUCAGCAGCAAAGCCCCUCUUCUUCGCUCUCUACAUUAUGGCAAGAAAUGAAAGAUGGGGAACUGUGUACUCAGAGUCCUGGCUAGCAAGAAUCUAGGUUCGAUUCUGCAAGAUACUCAUUUGAGUUUUGUGAGACAGAAGAGAAGCAAAAACCAUAUUAGAGUAACUUCCAAAGGUGACAGGCGUGCUUUGAGCACUGGUAGACGUGCAUCCUACAGGAGCUUCCUGAAGUUAGUUCUGUAGGUAAUUGGUGGUUUUCCUGUGGUUAUUACAACUACCUAAUUUCAUCAAAACUAGGUGGAUUAACCUUCCUGAUCUUCAUUUUCUUGUCCUUUCAACAUUUUUAGAAACAUCUCUCUCAAUUGAAUUUCUUCCUGUGUGGAAGGCAUAGAGUGGUUUAUAUUUUCCUUUUAACAGGCAUAUAUUUAUAUACCUAUAUUCAUAUAUAUAUAUAUACACAUACGUGUGUGUGUGUGUGUGUGUGUGUGUGUGUGUGUACAUCCAGAGUAAAGGUACUAAGAAAGAUGAGUUAUUUAUACUUUCAGUUAACUCAUGGUAUGGUGUGAAUAAAGAAAAAAAUUACAAUGCCAUAUUUAAGUAUGCCUGGGUUCUGUGACUGAUAAGAAAUAAGAUGAGUUCGAAUAUCCCACUUAAGGAGUACAAGGGAGGAUUUAUUCCAGGUGAGUUCGAGCUAAGUCUCACAUACUACAUACAACAGUAUGACUGAGAAUUAAUCAGUUGGACAAGAAGCUAAAGGAAAGUCUCAGUGCAGGAACAUUAUGAUAAGUGUGGCAUUGAAGAAAGAGGAGCCUAGUGUGUGAAGACUACAUGCAUCUUAAUAUUCCAGGAACAUUUUAGAGUGGUGAGAGAUGAGGCUGGCCUAGGUCAGGAAGAGAUAUGUUGCCAUUUUAAAGCUCUUGGAAUUUGUCCUAUACGUAAUGUGAAAUUAAACUGGAAGUUUUCCAGCUGGAAAUGGGAUAGAUGGAUUCAAGGCUCAUGAAUUUAGUAUCAUCACAGGUUUGUGUUACAAGCAUGUCAGCAAAUUGUACUGUGCUAUUGUUAUAUUUAUAUUAUAAAAAUAAUUGCUACCUGCAGGACAUGUUGAUUGUCUCUUAAAAUGUUGCAGAUUAAUUUAUAUAUGAGUAAAGGGCUCCUUCCCUAACUAUACCAUAAAUUAGGAACUGACUCUAGUCAUGAAAUAUGAUGGCAGCACUUAGACUUUUCAUUGGCUAAUUAAAUUUAAGUUCUAUUUUUGAACUUUUGCUCUAGUUGGCCAUUCAUCAAAAUUAUAGCAAAACAUUCAGAACGGAAACAGUUCUAAUUUGAAAGCUCUCACAGGAUACUAAGUUACAUUUUUAGACAUUCAGUCUACUUUGGUUGUGCAUGAAGUCAUUGUGAAGACUUUCUCCAUCAUUUAAAUAUUUAUCACAAAUAUUAUUCUUUCAUUUUUCUUCUUUUCACUCAUGGAGACAAAAACAGUCUAUUUUCCACGAAAUAUCUAAGAAGUAAAAUAAAAUCUCCUUAGGACUUUAAUGACUUUAAAAAAAAAAUUGUCCAUGAGUAAGUAGAAACACAUUGUUGAUUUUUCUAUUACUUUUUAAGUUAAAUAAGCACAUAGAUUUAAAGGAAGAAUAUUUAAAAUAACAAUAUCAAACCUGAAAAAUAAAUCCCUAAGCUAAACUUACUUAAAAAUCUCAGGCUAUUUUUAUUUGGUUAUUUAAAAGCUAAUCACCAAAUAUUUCCUAAAUUGUAUUUAUUAUUACUACUUAGCCAUACUCAUAAAAAUUUUCAUUUUCAAAAGAAAUAUGUAAUUCAAUAUUUACAUAAUUUCUUACUGAGGUGUUUUGUUUUUAGUUGAAGAUAUAUUAAGUUUUACUUAGUUUUCUGUAAUAACCACGUGUAACUCAUAUGCAUUUAGUUGGAUAGCUGGUUCAGGAUGUUAGCAGAAAACAUAUGGGAGGCAUUUGACACCUAGUAUUAUGUUUGAGAGGUUGUUAACUAGUCAUGUCAAAAACACAAACAUGAUUAUAGUUUUCUAAGAAUCUGAUUUUAUGUUCUCCUGGGAAUCAAUGCAUGCAUUAAUCUACUAGAAAGAUAAUUGCAUUUAGUAGUUUGAGAUUAAAGCAUAAAUGAUCCAUUUGAGAACAUUUUCAGAAUAAGCAUCACACUUCUUCUUUUUGACAAUAUACAGAUUAAGCCCAAAAUCUGGCCAUCAUCCUGCUAAUUACUUCUCACUUUUAACUUUUGUCUUGGUAAAUGAGUUGAACAGGUAGAAAUCAACCUUCUAGUAAAACAGAGUCAGCAUUAAGAACACUUUUGGAACACUUUCGGAAAUUACAUUUUCUAAAUUCUUUCUUGGAAAGCCUGUACUUUUCUUGGAAGCAGGCAAAAGUGGUUGUGUAUUAGCAUGAGAGUAAAAGUGGAAUGCAGAAACUAAGGUCUUUGCAGAGAACAAUCAAUAGAAAUGAAGUAACUGAGUGCAAAUCAAGGGUUUAAGCUGUCAAUUCAUCAGUAGAUUUCCCUUGGUAGUCAUGGAAUUUAAAAUUUUGACCUUCAAUAGAAAGAGAUAUUGUUCCAAAUUGUUCCAAAUUAAGAGUUGAAAUCUGAGAUUAGAAAAAAAAUUCUUUUACCUCCUGUAUUAAAAACACAUAUACACACAAACUAACAGUAUCUUAAACUAGUUAUAUGAACAACUAAAUUGGCUAUUAUAUAAUUUUGCUUUAUCAAUAGAAUAAAGGGCCAAAGUCCAGAUAAGGAAAAACACAAAAUAUAAAUAUUUUUUGUGUGUGUGUGUGAAGUAAUAAUAAAACUUCUUUUACCUUCCAACCCCAUUACAAUAUCAUCUUUAACUUUGUGAGGAAAAUGUUUCAUUUUCUACAAUUGAGUUAAUGUACUAGUAUAUGUCUUAUUCUAGUUUCUUCAAUGUACUAGUAUAUGUCUUAUCCUAGUUUAUAUUAGAAAGCAUUCAGGGAGUUCCCAUUGUGGUGCAGUGGUUAACGAAUCCGAAGGAACCAUGAGGUUGCGGGUUUGAUUCAUGCCUUGCUCAGUGGGUUAAGGAUCCGGUGUUGCUGUGAGCUGUGGUGUAGGUUGCAGAUGUGGCU